This 112-nucleotide ribosomal RNA is filed under the name Caerostris darwini. Lineage: Eukaryota; Metazoa; Arthropoda; Arachnida; Araneae; Araneidae. The record is from RNAcentral.
AACGGCCGUACCAUGCUGAAUAUACCGGUUCUCGUUAGAUCAUCGAAGUUAAGCAUCAUUGGGCGCGGUCAGUACUUGGGUGGGUGACCACCUGGGAACACUGCGUGCCGUU